Molecule: ribosomal RNA, 736 nt
Filed under: Bacillus zhangzhouensis
Lineage: Bacteria; Bacillati; Bacillota; Bacilli; Caryophanales; Bacillaceae
Description: bacterial SSU rRNA
Rfam family: Bacterial small subunit ribosomal RNA
Source: RNAcentral
GCUUGCUCCCGGAUGUUAGCGGCGGACGGGUGAGUAACACGUGGGUAACCUGCCUGUAAGACUGGGAUAACUCCGGGAAACCGGAGCUAAUACCGGAUAGUUCCUUGAACCGCAUGGUUCAAGGAUGAAAGACGGUUUCGGCUGUCACUUACAGAUGGACCCGCGGCGCAUUAGCUAGUUGGUGGGGUAAUGGCUCACCAAGGCGACGAUGCGUAGCCGACCUGAGAGGGUGAUCGGCCACACUGGGACUGAGACACGGCCCAGACUCCUACGGGAGGCAGCAGUAGGGAAUCUUCCGCAAUGGACGAAAGUCUGACGGAGCAACGCCGCGUGAGUGAUGAAGGUUUUCGGAUCGUAAAGCUCUGUUGUUAGGGAAGAACAAGUGCGAGAGUAACUGCUCGCACCUUGACGGUACCUAACCAGAAAGCCACGGCUAACUACGUGCCAGCAGCCGCGGUAAUACGUAGGUGGCAAGCGUUGUCCGGAAUUAUUGGGCGUAAAGGGCUCGCAGGCGGUUUCUUAAGUCUGAUGUGAAAGCCCCCGGCUCAACCGGGGAGGGUCAUUGGAAACUGGGAAACUUGAGUGCAGAAGAGGAGAGUGGAAUUCCACGUGUAGCGGUGAAAUGCGUAGAGAUGUGGAGGAACACCAGUGGCGAAGGCGACUCUCUGGUCUGUAACUGACGCUGAGGAGCGAAAGCGUGGGGAGCGAACAGGAUUAGAUACCCUGGUAGUCCACG